AUGAACUUCUUAGAGGGACUUCUGUGACUACAGAUGGAAGUUUGAGGCAAUAACAGGUCUGUGAUGCCCUUAGAUGUUCUGGGCCGCACGCGCGCUACACUGAUAAAGUCAGCGAGUAUUCACCUUGACCGGAAGGUCUGGGUAAUCUUUUGAAACUUUAUCGUGAUGGGGAUUGAGCAUUGCAAUUAUUGCUCAUGAACGAGGAAUUCCUAGUAAGCGCGAGUCAUCAGCUCGCGUUGAUUACGUCCCUGCCCUUUGUACACACCGCCCGUCGAUACUACCGAUUGAAUGGCU
Molecule: ribosomal RNA, 294 nt
Filed under: uncultured fungus
Lineage: Eukaryota; Fungi
Description: partial 18S ribosomal RNA
Rfam family: Eukaryotic small subunit ribosomal RNA
Source: RNAcentral